AUGCCUGCCACGGCAGUGAAAAGCGCUGCCAUGGCAGCAAAUUCGCCCGCACCCAAAAGUCCUGCUACGACAGCCGAAAACGCUGCCAUGGCAGGGAAUUCACCAUGCACAGCCUCUACAGCAGAAAAAAAACCCUGCCAUGGCAGCAGAAAACGCUGCCAUGGCAGUGUCAUCUCCAACAUCCACGACUCUCGACGAUGUACACUUGAUGAGCUCUGGCAAGAGGCAAUGAGCGAUGAGCUCGCGUUGAUCGAGGAGAAUGACACAUGGUCUCUUACUGAUUUGCCUGCAUGUCAAAAACCGAUCGGUCUCAAAUGGGUGUUCAAGCUCAAACGCGACGCCGGCAGCAAUUUGGUGAAGCACAAGGCCUGUCUAGUCACAAAGGGGUACGUCAAGCGGCCGGGGAUCGACUUUGAUGAAGUCUUUGCUCCGGUGGCCAGUCUGGACUCCGUUCGACUCCUGCUCGCUGUCGCCGCUCAGUUCAAGUGGCAAGUUCACCAAAUGGACAUGAAGAAUGCGUUCCACAUGGACAUAUUUCUUGUUUAA
Molecule: ribosomal RNA, 546 nt
Filed under: Triticum aestivum (bread wheat)
Lineage: Eukaryota; Viridiplantae; Streptophyta; Magnoliopsida; Poales; Poaceae
Description: partial small subunit ribosomal RNA
Source: RNAcentral